CGCGUAGGCGGUUUGUUAAGUCAGCUGUGAAAGCCCUGGGCUCAACCUGGGAACUGCAGUUGAUACUGGCCGACUAGAGUACGAGAGAGGGAGGUAGAAUUCCAUGUGUAGCGGUGAAAUGCGUAGAUAUAUGGAGGAAUACCAGUGGCGAAGGCGGCCUCCUGGCUCGAUACUGACGCUGAGGUGCGAAAGCGUGGGGAUCAAACAGGAUUAGAUACCCUGGUAGUCC
RNAcentral lists this ribosomal RNA (229 nucleotides) under uncultured bacterium. Its description in RNAcentral is "partial 16S ribosomal RNA". It matches the Rfam family "Bacterial small subunit ribosomal RNA", at positions 568 to 796 of the family's 1533-position model. The record is from RNAcentral.